UACAGAGGGGGCAAGCGUUAUUCGGAAUUAUUGGGCGUAAAGGGCGCGUAGGCGGCUUUGCAAGUGACGGGUGAAAGCCCUCGGCUUAACCGAGGAACUGCCUGUCAGACUGUGAGGCUUGAGACCGGGAGAGGUGAGUGGAAUUCCCAGUGUAGCGGUGAAAUGCGUAGAUAUUGGGAGGAACACCAGUGGCGAAGGCGGCUCACUGGACCGGAACUGACGCUGAGGCGCGAAAGCGUGGGGAGCGAUCCGG
This 253-nucleotide ribosomal RNA is filed under the name uncultured bacterium. Its description in RNAcentral is "partial 16S ribosomal RNA". It matches the Rfam family "Bacterial small subunit ribosomal RNA", at positions 524 to 776 of the family's 1533-position model. The record is from RNAcentral.